RNAcentral lists this ribosomal RNA (158 nucleotides) under Epicoccum rosae. RNAcentral describes it as "5.8S ribosomal RNA". The stretch from base 1 to 59 matches the Rfam family "5.8S ribosomal RNA", at positions 96 to 154 of the family's 154-position model. The record is from RNAcentral. Lineage: Eukaryota; Fungi; Ascomycota; Dothideomycetes; Pleosporales; Didymellaceae.
AUCUUUGAACGCACAUUGCGCCCCUUGGUAUUCCAUGGGGCAUGCCUGUUCGAGCGUCAUUUGUACCUUCAAGCUCUGCUUGGUGUUGGGUGGUUGUCUCGCCUCUGCGUGUAGACUCGCCUUAAAACAAUUGGCAGCCGGCGUAUUGAUUUCGGAGC